This 253-nucleotide ribosomal RNA is filed under the name uncultured bacterium. Its description in RNAcentral is "partial 16S ribosomal RNA". It matches the Rfam family "Bacterial small subunit ribosomal RNA", at positions 524 to 776 of the family's 1533-position model. The record is from RNAcentral.
UACGGAGGGUGCGAGCGUUAAUCGGAAUUACUGGGCGUAAAGCGCACGUAGGCGGUUGGGUAAGUCGGAUGUGAAAGCCCUGGGCUUAACCUGGGAACUGCAUUCGAUACUGCCCGGCUAGAGUAUGGGAGAGGGAAGCGGAAUUUCCGGUGUAGCGGUGAAAUGCGUAGAUAUCGGAAGGAACACCAAUGGCGAGGGCAGCUUCCUGGCCCAAUACUGACGCUCAGGUGCGAAAGCGUGGGGAUCAAACAGG